AGAGUUUGAUCAUGGCUCAGAAUGAACGCUGGCGGCGUGCCUAACACAUGCAAGUCGAGCGAGAAAGCUCCUUCGGGAGUGAGUACAGCGGCGGACGGGUGAGUAACGCGUAAGAAUCUGCCCUUCAGUGAAGAAUACCCUCGAGAAAUCGGGGUUAAUGCUGCAUACGUCCCUUCGGGGAGAAAGAUGGCCUCUUUGCUGUCGCUGAAGGAUGAGCUUGCGUACUAUUAGCUUGUUGGUGGGGUAAAGGCCUACCAAGGCGAUGAUGGUUAGCCGGCCUGAGAGGGUGUACGGCCACAUUGGAACUUAGACACGGUCCAGACUCCUACGGGAGGCAGCAGUGAGGAAUAUUGCGCAAUGGGCGAAAGCCUGACGCAGCGACGCCGCGUGGAGGAUGAAGGUCUUAGGAUUGUAAACUUCUGUUAAGUGGGAAGAAAGGCUCAUUCCUAAUACGAAUGAGAGAUGACGGUACCAUUAGAGAAAGCACCGGCUAACUUCGUGCCAGCAGCCGCGGUAAUACGAGGGGUGCGAGCGUUAUUCGGAAUCAUUGGGCGUAAAGGGUACGCAGGCGGCAAGUUAAGUCAACCGUUAAAUUUUCCGGCCUAACCGGAAGCCAGCGGUAGAUACUGGCAUGCUAGAGGAUGAGAGAGAGAAGUGGAAUUCUCGGAGUAGCGGUAAAAUGCGUGGAUCUCGAGAGGAACACCAAUGGCGAAGGCAGCUUCUUGGCUCAUUCCUGACGCUCAGGUACGAAAGCGUGGGGAGCAAACAGGAUUAGAUACCCUGGUAGUCCACGCUGUAAACGAUGAUCACUAGACGUCAGUCUCGUUCUACGGGAUUGGUGUCGUAGCUAACGCGUUAAGUGAUCCGCCUGGGGACUACGGUCGCAAGAUUAAAACUCAAAGGAAUUGACGG
RNAcentral lists this ribosomal RNA (912 nucleotides) under uncultured bacterium. RNAcentral's name for it is "bacterial SSU rRNA". It matches the Rfam family "Bacterial small subunit ribosomal RNA", at positions 8 to 916 of the family's 1533-position model. The record is from RNAcentral.